RNAcentral lists this transfer RNA (68 nucleotides) under Stylotermes sp. CN14. Its description in RNAcentral is "tRNA-Phe". Lineage: Eukaryota; Metazoa; Arthropoda; Insecta; Blattodea; Stylotermitidae. The record is from RNAcentral.
AUCUAAAUAGCUUAUGUUUUAGAGCAUGACAUUGAAGAUGUUAAUGAGGUGUUGUUUAUUGCCUUUAG